RNAcentral lists this ribosomal RNA (439 nucleotides) under uncultured bacterium. Its description in RNAcentral is "partial 16S ribosomal RNA". It matches the Rfam family "Bacterial small subunit ribosomal RNA", at positions 338 to 795 of the family's 1533-position model. The record is from RNAcentral.
CCUACGGUGGGCAGCAGUGAGGAAUAUUGGGCAAUGGGGGCAACCCUGACCCAGCCAUGCCGCGUGAGUGAAGAAGGUCUUCGGAUUGUAAAGCUCUUUCGGACGUGACGAUGAUGACGGUAGCGUCUAAAGAAGCACCGGCAAACUUCGUGCCAGCAGCCGCGGUAAUACGGAGGAUGCGAGCGUUAUCCGGAUUUAUUGGGUUUAAAGGGUGCGUAGGCGGGCUGUUAAGUCAGCGGUAAAAGCCCGGGGCUCAACCCCGGCGAGCCGUUGAAACUGGCUGUCUUGAGAUGUCGAGAGGUAUGCGGAAUGCGCAGUGUAGCGGUGAAAUGCUUAGAUAUUGCGCAGAACUCCGAUUGCGAAGGCAGCAUACCGGCGGCGAUCUGACGCUGAGGCACGAAAGCGUGGGUAUCGAACAGGAUUAGAUACCCUUGUAGUC